Molecule: transfer RNA, 85 nt
Filed under: Schizophyllum commune
Lineage: Eukaryota; Fungi; Basidiomycota; Agaricomycetes; Agaricales; Schizophyllaceae
Also listed under: 1 other name
Description: tRNA-Pro
Rfam family: tRNA
About the family: Transfer RNA (tRNA) molecules are approximately 80 nucleotides in length. Their secondary structure includes four short double-helical elements and three loops (D, anti-codon, and T loops).
Source: RNAcentral
GGCCUGAUGGUCUAGUAGUAUGAUUCCUUGUUAGGGUGCUCCAACCGUUUCGAGGAGGUCCCGGGUUCAAUUCCCGGUCAGGCCC